AAUAGAUACCCGGGUAGUCCACGCCGUAAACGAUGAGUGCUAAGUGUUAGAGGGUUUCCGCCCUUUAGUGCUGCAGCAAACGCAUUAAGCACUCCGCCUGGGGAGUACGGUCGCAAGACUGAAACUCAAAGGAAUUGACGGGGGCCCGCACAAGCGGUGGAGCAUGUGGUUUAAUUCGAAGCAACGCGAAGAACCUUACCAGGUCUUGACAUCCUUAUGCCUUCUCUAGAGAUAGAGCUUUCCCUUCGGGGACAUAAGUGACAGGUGGUGCAUGGUUGUCGUCAGCUCGUGUCGUGAGAUGUUGGGUUAAGUCCCGCAACGAGCGCAACCCUUGAUCUUAGUUGCCAGCAUUCAGUUGGGCACUCUAAGGUGACUGCCGGUGACAAACCGGAGGAAGGUGGGGAUGACGUCAAAUCAUCAUGCCCCUUAUGACCUGGGCUACACACGUGCUACAAUGGAUGGUACAAAGGGAAGCGAAACCGCGAGGUUAAGCCAAUCCCAUAAAACCAUUCUCAGUUCGGAUUGCAGGCUG
Molecule: ribosomal RNA, 532 nt
Filed under: uncultured bacterium
Lineage: Bacteria
Description: bacterial SSU rRNA
Rfam family: Bacterial small subunit ribosomal RNA
Source: RNAcentral